AACCUCCCACUGAGCCAAACAAAGUCUCCACUCUCGAGAUCUGAGACGGGCUCCUUCCAGGCGACUGACGGCGUCGGCGAUUCGGCGCAACCGGCGGCGGCUCGGCGUCAGUGUGCGCGGCAAGGAGGCCCCGACGUCUGCGGCUCGGCAAGGGGAGGUCAAGGCGGCGGCGGCGGCGCCGCCUGCGGCUGCAAGGCGAGGGCUAGGUGCCGACGGGUUAAGGAGCAGGGAAGGCGGCGGUGGCUGGGGGAGACGGCGCGUCGGCUCGUUUUGGGGAACGAUGCGGGCACCGGCCGCCGGCGGCUGUUGAGGGGGCUGCAGGCGGCGGCGACGGCAUGGGGAGUUCCAGGCGACGGCGAGGGAGGCUGCGGCGACGGCGGAAGGCUGCGACGACGCCAGCGGCUUAAGAAGAAGCUGUAGGCGGCGGCGACGGCACAGGUUACUCCCCCCUCCCCUUCUCUUCCCUCCAUGGCGAGAGAGACACAAGGAAGAUGCGUGCGUCGGUGCGUGCGUUUGCCAUGGCAGGCAGCAGCGGAGAUUGACACGGCGGACGACACGAGGUGCGGCAGUCUGAUGCUGAAAGCACCAGCUAGCUAGCGGCAGUCCUCCUGGCCCUUGCCGAGGAGGACGAUGACGGUGGCAAGCUACGCUGC
This 653-nucleotide long non-coding RNA is filed under the name Oryza brachyantha (malo sina). RNAcentral describes it as "long non-coding RNA (OBRA_LNC003201)". The record is from RNAcentral. Lineage: Eukaryota; Viridiplantae; Streptophyta; Magnoliopsida; Poales; Poaceae.